UACGAAGGGGGCUAGCGUUGCUCGGAAUCACUGGGCGUAAAGGGCGCGUAGGCGGCCGAUUAAGUCGGGGGGUGAAAGCCUGUGGCUCAACCACAGAAUUGCCUUCGAUACUGGUUGGCUUGAGACCGGAAGAGGACAGCGGAACUGCGAGUGUAGAGGUGAAAUUCGUAGAUAUUCGCAAGAACACCAGUGGCGAAGGCGGCUGUCUGGUCCGGUUCUGACGCUGAGGCGCGAAAGCGUGGGGAGCAAACAGG
RNAcentral lists this ribosomal RNA (254 nucleotides) under uncultured bacterium. Its description in RNAcentral is "partial 16S ribosomal RNA". It matches the Rfam family "Bacterial small subunit ribosomal RNA", at positions 524 to 776 of the family's 1533-position model. The record is from RNAcentral.